UUCGGCUGGACAAUGUACAGGGUGCUGCAUGGCUGUCGUCAGCUCGUGUCGUGAGAUGUUCGGUUAAGUCCGGCAACGAGCGCAACCCACGUCCUUAGUUACCAGCAUUUAGUUGGGUACCCUAAGAGAGACUGCCGGUGAUAAGCCGGAGAGAAGGUGUGGACGACGUCAAGUCAUCAUGGCCCUUACGGGUUGGGCUACACACGUGCUACAAUGGCAUCUACAGUGAGUUAAUCUCCAAAAGAUGUCUCAGUUCGGAUUGGGGUCUGCAACUCGACCCCAUGAAGUUGGAAUCGCUAGUAAUCGCGGAACAGCAUGCCGCGGUGAAUA
This 330-nucleotide ribosomal RNA is filed under the name uncultured bacterium. RNAcentral's name for it is "bacterial SSU rRNA". It matches the Rfam family "Bacterial small subunit ribosomal RNA", at positions 1016 to 1368 of the family's 1533-position model. The record is from RNAcentral.